Molecule: long non-coding RNA, 1408 nt
Organism: Lytechinus variegatus (green sea urchin)
Lineage: Eukaryota; Metazoa; Echinodermata; Echinoidea; Temnopleuroida; Toxopneustidae
Exons: 5
Source: RefSeq, a predicted model, not a curated record
GGCUGCUACUAGUAUCUACAUCUGUAUCAACAUGGCAAGUUAGAAGCUGGAUUAUUCCUCCUCUGUUUGUUGUUUAACAGUACGAUUGGAUCAUGCCCCUCUAUUCAACCCAAUGCUUGCCAUCAUAUUAUCUAUCAAUCAAUCGGAGAGAUAGUGAACUUGGUUCCUUAGUAUCUACCACAUGAACAUCCUGCAUAUAAUUUCAAACCUCCAAAGGUCAACCUCACUGUCCUGUACUGUGUACUACCAGAUUGUCACGCAGGGAAAUGUCUCAAUGGAGAUACUUGCACGGAGGAGCUAGGUGGAUAUAACUGUGCUUGUUCGGCAGCCUACGAAGAGAUACACUAUAAUUUAGAAAUUUGUCCUGAUGGUUGGAUUUUUGGGAGAACAAAAUGUUUUUUGGUGACAGGGUUGACUGGAGACCAAGGAACAUGGCAUGAUGCUUUGGAUUACUGCUCUAAUCUAGAUGAAGCAACAUUAAAGAAUGGAGAAAGGAUUAAACCAUCUAUGUUGUUUAUAGAAAGCGAUGAAGAGGUUAAUUUUCUGAGACCACAGUAUCCCCUGCUUCUGCCUGGAUAAAUUGUAACGAUCUUCAAGAAACAGAUACUUGGGUGUGUAUCAGGGAUCACGCAGGCACAACUAGUUUAUAUAGACAUGAUAGAAACUGGGACACAGAUCAACCAGACGAUCCCACCAAACAUUGUGUAUUAGUGGAUAUGACAUCGGGAGGAAUGCACGAUUUUUCAUGUUCAGGUACGAGCCAGAUCAUCUGCCAAAUCGACAUCCCUUCAUAAUUGUCCUUAAAUCUUUUAAAACAAAGAAAAACAUAUUGUGGCAAUGGGCCUAGGAUAUACAAUAACAUGUUUUAGCAUGAUACAAGGAGAACAUUCAUACUCAGGGACAAACAUAAAAGAAAAGAUAUACGCAUGUCCUUAUGGAUAAAAAACAAUGAGAAAUGGAAAACUCGGAAGAGAUAAGCUAUACCAUGGCAGAUUCAAUAUCAAGAUGUGACGUACAACUUAAGAUGGAUAAUUAUGUAAAACUAGAGCUAUUAGUUUUUAUGGAAUAUUUAGAAAAAAAAAUGGCUAAUUAAACCUUUAAGCUGAAAUUUAUUUAUAUUGUAUUCAAGCAUUUAUCAAUGAUAAUUUUUCAUAAAUUCACGAUAAAAUAGUCUUAUAAAAGCAAGGUUUAAAAGAACCGAUUUGAUCGAAACCACUAGAAUCUACCCGAACGUCGAACAGUAAAUUUGUCUGUUCAAAAUCAAAGUUGUACACUACAAUUAAUGCUUCAAAUAUUGACGGACAAGCCCACUCCAACUAAAAGUUGAUUUUUAUAAAAGGAGAAAAUUCAACAAGUAUAACCCUGAAAAUUUCAUCGAAACUGGAUGUAUAAUAAAAACGCUAUUUUG